CGAGGCAUAUAGCGGUUCCCAGGCUAGGGGUCAAAUCAGAGCCGUAGCUGCCAGCCUACACCACAGCCACAGCAAUGUGGGAUCCCAGCUGCAUCUGCAACCUACACCACAGUUCACAGCAACACUGGAUCCUUAACCCACUGAGCAAGGCCAGGGAUCAAACCUUCAUCCUCAUGGAUACUAGUCAGGUUUGUUUCCACUGAGCCACAAUGGGAACUCCUGAAAUUCAAAUGGUUUCUCUUUGGCCAGAGGAAACCUGUUCAGGUUGGCCAGGGGCGGGGAGGGGGGGGUCCUUCUUAAUGAUGGGGGCCUCCCUUCUCUCCUCUAACCUGAAGAGAAAUCCUACUUUCCCCUCCCUUUGCUCCUGGGACUCUUGAGCACAAAGUUAAAAACAUCCCUUCCCUGUAGCUCUAGUUCUGCCUCUGGCUGUGAGCUUUCUCAACGACAUGUGUCUGUGUAUCUCAAGAAUGCAUCUUCCUCUUGCCAGAAGUAUCUGGAUUCACUUGCUAAAAAGUCAAGGUCAACCGUCAGGGCUAAGAGGACCCUAAGAAGACAGGACAGCUACAUGUCACAUGAUGUCCUAGAUGGGAUCCUGGAACAGAAAAAGGACGUUAGGUAAAAGCUAAGGAAAUUGGAACAAAGCAUGGCUACUAAGAGUGAAACAAUCAUUAAUUGUUACAAACGUACCGUACUAAAAGGUGUUAGAGGUUAAUAAUAAAGGAAACUGGUAUGGGUUAUAUGGGAAUGCCCUGCAUUAUCUUUGCAAUUUUUCUGUAACUCUAAAACUGCUCUAAAAUCAAAAGUUUGUUUAAAAAAGAAGAAGAAACUCAUUGACUUGGAGAACAGACUUGUUGCCAAGGAGGAGAGGGAGGGAGUGGGAUGGACUGGGAGUUUGGUGUUAGCAGUGGAUAAGCAAUGAGAUCCUGCUGUAUAGCCCUAGGAACUAUAUCUAGUCACUUGGGAUGGAGCAUGGUGGAGGAUAAUGUGAGAAAGAGAGAGAGAGUAUGUGUGUGUAUGUGUAUUUAAAGGGUAAUCCCAAAGAACACAAAGAAUGGAAAGGUAGAGGAAUAGUGGGGGAAAAAAAGGAACAGCCAAGUUUUGGAAGCUGAGGGUAGUUUGUUGGAUGAGGGGAAAAUGCUUCAAUGGAGCAGAAAAAUGCAACCCUCGGUGUUGCUGAGCAGACUCCAACAAAGGAUCAAGGAAGGAAAUCAAGAAAGGGUUGAGACAUGGGACCCAGGAAACAGGUACUAAUAUAGGGACAGUAGGUGAGAGGAGACCCCAGGGAGAGUGCCACGUAGCACACGUGAGAGCCACCAGCAUGGGCAGGCAUAGGAGGAGAGGGCUCUGGGGAAAACUCCUGGAGUUUAGGAAAAAAGAAACAGCAGCAGCAUUUAUUAAUUCUAGGAAAUACUGUUUUAAGUAUUAAGAAAUGACUGUAUUGUUCUACGAGCCUCAGUUGUGAAGGAUAUUGGCAGUCAUGUAGGAGAAAUGCUGAAUAUCUAUUUAAUUUCAAAAAAUGCUAUAGUUGGAGUUCCUCUUGUGGUGCAGGGGAAAUGAAUCUGACUAGGAACCAUGAGGUUGUAGGUUCAAUCCCUGUCCUCACUUACUGGGUUAAGGAUCCCGAGUGGCUGUGACUGUGGUGUAGGCCAGCAACUAUAGCUCCGAUUCAACCCCUAGCCUGGGAACUUCAAUAUGCCAUGGAUGUGGCCCUGAAAAGCAAAAUAAUAAUAAUAGUAAUAAUAAGGAGUUCCCUGGUGGUCUAGUGGUUAGGAUUUGGCACUUUCGCUGUUAUGGUCUGGGUCCGAUCCCUGGUCUGGGAACUGAACUAAGAUGCCACAUUAAGCUGUUGCUUACUGCAGCCAAAAAAUAGUGAUGAUCUGUGGUUCCCAGGAACAUGCAUAGGAUAUGUGUGGUAUACAUACAUAGCAGUCAUUUAAUAAAACUCGAUUGCAAGUUCCUUCAAAAAAAAAAUAAUGAUGAUGAUGAUUGUUAAAUAAAAAGACAGUAGGGGAGUUCCCGUCGUGGUGCAGUGGAAACAAAUCCGACUAGGAACCAUGAAGUUGCAGGUUCAAUCCCUGGCCUUGCUAAAUGGGUUGAGGAUCUGGCAUAGCCAUGAGCUGUGGUGUGGGUCACAGAUGCAGCUCGGAUCCCACAUUGCUGUGGCUGUGGCGUAGGCCGGUAGCAACAGCUCCGAUUAGACCCCUAGCCUGGGAACCUCCAUAUACUGAGAGAGGCCUCGGGAGAAACCAGCCCAGCCAACACCUUCAUCUCAGACUUCUAGCUUCCAGAACUGGGAGACCAUAACUGCAUUAUGUAAGCCACUCUUCUGCCGUCUUUGGUUCUGGCAGUGCGAGCAGCCUGAUACACUUGGGCUCAGCUGUGGAAGUGGAUGGUCAUGCUGCACUUGGCCUGGGGAAUGGGUUGAUACGGGCCAUGGCCUUGAAUGCAAUGCUGAUUCUUAAAAGAACGUUUUAAAAGUGUUCUUUCGCUUGCUGGAGCCUCAGAUCAGCUAAGUCUGGCUGCAAAGGGUGACAUUUUCUAUCAGCACAGCAAAGGCUCCUUGGAGUGUGGUUUUCCCACUUGUUGCCGUGACAGGGGUGGGCCCCUCCACCUGGACUUCCUAUGUCCUCUCUCAGUAACCAAGCAUCCUUCAGUCCCUUUGGAGAAACGGUUUGCUUUUGCCUUUUGGGCUUUACUCUUUGGAAGCCACAGGAACUCAGUGUCCAAGAGGAUUUCGUGGAAGGCAAGCUGCCUUGUGGUUGUUUUUUGGCAAAUACCGAAGUUAUCUCAUUUUUUGUACUAAGACACAAGAAGUGUUCUUCUGAGUGAACCGCUGCAGGUCCCUGUAAAAAUGUCAUGAUCUUGCAAGUGUGUUUCCCUGGUAGUACAAACCCUGAUACUGAAGAAAAGAAUUCCUGAGAACGUCAUAUGAGGUUCAGCCAUAUUAUGGAAAUAGGACCACUUUCAUGGGUCCGAACACUGGAAACUAAAACGAUGAGAAAUUUUCCCCAACUCAAGCAAUAAAAUAAUUUUUUAUGCUUCAUGGAUUUUUUGGCAGUUUGCUUGCAAUUGCUUAUAGACUAUCUACUUGUUCUAGUUCAAUUUGUCUUCUCUGGAUGAAUCUGUGUGUGCAUAUUGUUCUUAAUCUUAACCCUUAUUAUAAUGUCUCCAAAUUCCAGUGGAGAUGGAGUUACUCUUCCAAACUGCUUGCUCUUGUAUCAAGAGGUGGAGGUGUUGUCCUGGGAAUCUUGUCAGGGCUGAAGAUUCUCUAGAAGAGGUGGACUAGCUUCUGUUUGUCCUCUUGUCCAUUCAAGCUCAUGUGCUGGGGGCAUGAAGAGAAAAACAGACCAAGGACAUUGGAGCAUCAAUGGCUUUUAGUUUUGUGGAUCUGUUGAAACUUACAGCUAUGGCCAGUUUUGUGCUGCUUAUUUUAUUAUUAUUUAUUCUUUUAUUAUCCUGGAUUUGAGGGCUUUACACUUUCCACUAACCCAGUAUAUUUGUCUGUGUGCAUUAAUGGCCUAAGUUUGCUGUGCCCAGAGCAGCCCUCCUCGUUGCUGGGAGGUCCCCCCCCUCCCCGCUAACCUUUUACAGCUGCUCUCACAGCAGCAAAAAGUAUAUGUAAGAGGGCAGCUGUUUUGCAAGUGCUGUCUUGGUGUUUCUUCAUUUUUCUUGAUAACUCUCUUGUGCUGUCAUAACAACUGGAGCCCAGUGGUUGUGUAAGGCAGACUGUGGGCCUUUAUUUGCAGAACACAGAACUUCAGUGAAGGAUAGUGGUGUCUGCCCUUCACCUCAGGGGGUCUUACAGGAGGACAGAGUAACUAGCAGCUGUAGCUCACCGAUUUACAACAAAAAGACCAUUUCUGGCAAUAUUCACUGAAAGAAAUAAAUGUUUCAGAGCUUCGUCUGUAUAAUAGAAGCAAAAUUCAGUUCUCUAAAAAUCUGAACUUUGUCUUCUAUGUACUUGCUUUCUUCAUUUUCACAGUGAGUUACUUUGUCAUGUUUGUUUCGCCACAAUUCUAAGAUCCUGACCACAGCCAUCUAAAGGAUCAGCUUGCUUUACAAAUCUCAAGGAAUUCAGUUGAUGUUGUCUGAACUACCCAAGAAGCAAGAUGCAAAUGUUCUCAAGGUGUGCUUUCACCUCUUUGUUAAAUGCCAUACUGUAUAAUGAAAAUACAUUCAAGAAAUUAUUAAAGUAAAAAUUCGUAUGUCCUCUGGUAACAUGCUAAAAUAUGCUGUCUGUAAUAUGUAUGGUCUAUAUUUUAGGAGGAGUUUUAUGGAAUACUGAAAAUGAACAUCCCAGAAGAACAGUUUUAAGCAUAUUCAUGCAAAUAUGAUAGAGCUUAGAAGGGAAUUCUUGAGGCAAAAUAUCUGAUUCACUGAUACACUUAUUCUGUGUAUACUGUACUGUCUUCGUAGAAACUUUCACAGCACUGCAUGGUUGGGGUCAUAGAUCUGUGACAACCUAUGACAAGUCAUGUAUUACAUAGUUUAAAGUAUUGUACUGCUGUAAAUUCGGUUUGAUAAAGCUUUGCCCAAUUUAGAGGCUAAAAAGAAAUCUUCACUUUUCAAUUAAGCAAUUGCCAUGGUAAAAUGGCAUAAAACAAUUCUUUUCAUCUAAAAAUAUACUAUAGCCAUAAUUCAAGUAGGCUCAAGUAGGCUUUUAAAAAUGCUAUGCUUUUGUCUAAUUAGCGAUUGGGUUAGAGAUUUAAUGAUUUCCCUGGGAACGUUGUUCUAAUGCUCAGUAUAGAAGGUUACAUUUCAUACCUCUGUCUGCCACAGACACAAACGCGUGCCUUCUGCCUCACAUACCUUUGCUUCCUGUGUCACUUACCCUUCGAGGCCAAUUUCUAGAACUUUCCACUAGGGCAGAAUGGACCUCCUCUUCCCUGAACAUCAGCAGCCUGUCCCCCACCCCUCUGUGUGAGGCUCCCUAACCCCUUUAGAAAAGAGAAACUGAAGCCUCUACUUUGCAAAUCUUCACAAUUGCCGUUUGCAAAACAACACACCCCCUGGGCGACUGAGCCAACAGACUGAAGUCAAACAUUUGUUUGAAAUCAUCAAGUCAAACACAAGUAAUACUUGAAAUGAAGAGAAGCCUUACAAGGCAGCAGUGCAGAAUGUCAAAGACCAAACAUUUCUUUCUCACAAAGCCUAACUAUAGAGGUUAUCUCCCCAGGUGACCCUCAGGGGCGGGGCUAACCUGUCCGGGCUACUUUAGCUACUCCAGGACUUGUGUGUUUGAUGCCUGUGGCAUAAACACAUCUGAAAUGCCUAAUUAAUGCCAAAGACCCCAA
RNAcentral lists this long non-coding RNA (5294 nucleotides) under Sus scrofa (pig). RNAcentral's name for it is "lncRNA (ENSSSCG00015017734.1)". The stretch from base 1749 to 1820 matches the Rfam family "tRNA". The record is from RNAcentral. Lineage: Eukaryota; Metazoa; Chordata; Mammalia; Artiodactyla; Suidae.